CUGAUUGGAAGGCAUACAGUUCCAAAAUUCUCCAUUUUGCAAAGACAUCCCAGGUAACUAACUCAGGUGAUUUGUGAGCAACACGGCCCUGAUCCCUCCUGCGUCCAGAACAGUUUGAUGAUUAUACAGAUUGCCUGGGGUCCUGUCUGACUGCCCUCUAGUGUGGAUCUUUAGUAAGAUGAUGGCUUUUGUAUCAAAGUGCUGAGCCAGGAGUUAUACUUCUACAGAAAUUGAAUAGGUAUGAAGUUGAAAAAGGACAAAAGAAAACAAAACCAAGAACAUAAAGGGUCCACUUUGCUGAAUAGUUUUGAAUCAAGAACCCAGUGAUGACAUUUAUGAAAAGAAAAAAGAAAUCACCAAGGGAACAAGGCAGUCCUGGGGCUGUUUAACCUUGGUUCUUUGCAAUCCUGAUGAGUUGACAUAGAAUCAGCAUUCUUCCCCGACUGGUUUUGCAGAACUAGAUGCCAAGGAGUCAAGGAAAAGGAGGUGAAGAGAGAAUUCCAAGCAGAUGGCAUGGCACAAGCAUAAGGAAGAGAGCCGGUGCUCUGGGAACUGCAGGGAGUCCUGUGCAGUCACACAUAGUGAGGCAGGGUAGCCUGGCCUGCAUAAGGCCCUUCUCCUGAAUGAGGAAACAAGUCCUCAGAAAAGGAGCUUCCUUGCCCUUCGAGGAGGGUCACCCCUUGACAUUGAACAUGAGAAAGUGUGUUUUCUGAUCUUUAAAAUAUAUGCAUUCUGGGGCUGGGUUGUGGCUCAGCAGUAGAGCACUGGCCCAGCAAGUG
Molecule: long non-coding RNA, 779 nt
Organism: Marmota monax (woodchuck)
Lineage: Eukaryota; Metazoa; Chordata; Mammalia; Rodentia; Sciuridae
Exons: 4
Source: RefSeq, a predicted model, not a curated record